GUAAAUGUCAAGAUCAUGUGCCCGCUUAGAUAUUCCAGAUAGUGAUAGGCCCAUCUUAGAUAAUUGCUAAACCUCUGUUUUUGAGUCGCUCGACUAGUCGCGACUAGUCGUCGACUAGUCUGUGAGUCGCACUGGCAGGGUCGACUCAGCCUGGCGACUCGACUCAUGGGAUGAGUCGAGCGACUCGAGCGACUAGUCUCGACUAGUCACGACUAGUCGUGUUUUUUGGGUCGAACGACUCAAUUUUUUUGGGCCGGCCUGUCAUAUGUUUUUUUACUGUAUCGAACCAUCCCCCGUGGAAACCUAGAUCGAACAUGUUCCCCUCCCCCGACCCAACCCUCUCCUUGGCAGCCGCCGCCUCCCCUGGUUGCUGGCUUGCUGCUCCUCCCCUGGUUGCUGCUGCUGGUCUGCUCCUCCCCUGGUUGCUGCUCUUGCUGGUCUUCUCCUCCCCUGGUUGCUGCUCUUGCUGGUAUGCUCCUCCCCUCCUCCCCUGGUUGCUGCUGCUGGUAUGCUCCUCCCCUCAUCCCCUGGUUGUUGCUGCUGCUGGUCUGCUCCUCCUCUCCUCCCCUGGUUGUUGUUGUUGGUGGUGGUGGGGGUCUGCUCCUCCCCUGGUUGUGCAUGAACAAGGGUGGUUGUGCAUGAUGAAGAGUUGAGGGCUGAAUUGGAACCACUCAAGAACAAGGCUGGUUUUAUUGUACCUACUUUCUAUUGCUUAACUCACGUCGACUCGUUGCAUGUCGACUCAUCGACCAUGAGUCUAGACUAGUCACGACUAGUCUAGAGUCGCUCCCCCCGAGCGACUCGUCGACUCAUCUACUCGAAAACCUUGUGCUAAACUAUAUUUUCCUUGCUUUCAGAAGAAGUCAUAUGUAUUGAUUGGAAAUUCAUGCACGCCGCCUUUUUAACUCUGUUAGUUGGAGGCAUCAUGUAGGAAAUUCAUGUGUGCACUCUGCAUUAUCUAGUUCCUUGUGUUACUUUGACAUCCCCAUACCUUUGUUCUAGAAAAUUCUGAU
Molecule: long non-coding RNA, 1013 nt
Filed under: Triticum aestivum (bread wheat)
Lineage: Eukaryota; Viridiplantae; Streptophyta; Magnoliopsida; Poales; Poaceae
Description: long non-coding RNA (TAES_LNC022665)
Source: RNAcentral